UGCCAAUUUAGCUCAGUUGGUAGAGCAUCUCCCUCGUAAAGAGAAGGUCGUUGGUUCGAUUCCAACAAUUGGCAU
This 75-nucleotide transfer RNA is filed under the name Lactobacillus delbrueckii subsp. bulgaricus. RNAcentral describes it as "tRNA-Thr". It matches the Rfam family "tRNA". Rfam says of the family: Transfer RNA (tRNA) molecules are approximately 80 nucleotides in length. Lineage: Bacteria; Bacillati; Bacillota; Bacilli; Lactobacillales; Lactobacillaceae. The record is from RNAcentral.